Molecule: ribosomal RNA, 483 nt
Filed under: uncultured bacterium
Lineage: Bacteria
Description: partial 16S ribosomal RNA
Rfam family: Bacterial small subunit ribosomal RNA
Source: RNAcentral
GACGAACGCUGGCGGCGUGCUUAACACAUGCAAGUCGAACGCUGAAGCUCAGCUUUUGUUGGGUGGAUGAGUGGCGAACGGGUGAGUAACACGUGAGUAACCUGCCCCCUUCUUUGGGAUAACGCCCGGAAACGGGUGCUAAUACUGGAUAUUCACUGGUCUUCGCAUGGGGGUUGGUGGAAAGGGUUUUUCUGGUGGGGGAUGGGCUCGCGGCCUAUCAGCUUGUUGGUGGGGUGAUGGCCUACCAAGGCUUUGACGGGUAGCCGGCCUGAGAGGGUGACCGGUCACAUUGGGACUGAGAUACGGCCCAGACUCCUACGGGAGGCAGCAGUGGGGAAUAUUGCACAAUGGGCGCAAGCCUGAUGCAGCGACGCCGCGUGAGGGAUGGAGGCCUUCGGGUUGUGAACCUCUUUCGCUCAUGGUCAAGCCGCAACAAUGGUUGUGGUGAGGGUAGUGGGUAAAGAGGCGCCGGCUAACUACGUG